Small nuclear RNA from Suricata suricatta (meerkat), 164 nucleotides. Its record names the gene U1. It matches the Rfam family "U1 spliceosomal RNA". Rfam says of the family: U1 is a small nuclear RNA (snRNA) component of the spliceosome (involved in pre-mRNA splicing). NCBI's taxonomy places the organism in Eukaryota, Metazoa, Chordata, Mammalia, Carnivora, Herpestidae. The record is from Ensembl.
UUACUUACCCUGGCCAAGGAGAUACCAUGGUCACGAACGUGGUUUUCCCAGGGCAAGGCUUAUCCAUUGCACUCCGGAUGUGCUGAGCCCUGCGAUGUCCCUGGACGCGGGGAGCCUGGCUGCAUGAUUCGCAGCAGCGGGGACUGCGGUUGUGUUCUCCCUGG